This 459-nucleotide ribosomal RNA is filed under the name uncultured Desulfitobacterium sp. RNAcentral describes it as "bacterial SSU rRNA". It matches the Rfam family "Bacterial small subunit ribosomal RNA", at positions 925 to 1382 of the family's 1533-position model. The record is from RNAcentral. Lineage: Bacteria; Bacillati; Bacillota; Clostridia; Eubacteriales; Desulfitobacteriaceae.
ACAAGCGGUGGAUUAUGUGGUUUAAUUCGACGCAACGCGAAGAACCUUACCAAGGCUUGACAUCCACAGAAUCUUGAGGAAACUUGAGAGUGCCCUUCGGGGAGCUGUGAGACAGGUGGUGCAUGGUUGUCGUCAGCUCGUGUCGUGAGAUGUUGGGUUAAGUCCCGCAACGAGCGCAACCCCUAUGUUUAGUUGCUAACGAGUAAGGUCGAGCACUCUAGACAGACUGCCGGUGACAAACCGGAGGAAGUGGGGAUGACGUCAAAUCAUCAUGCCCCUUAUGUCUUGGGCUACACACGUAAUACAAUGGCCGGUACAGACGGAAGCGAAGCCGUGAGGUGAAGCGAAUCCGAGAAAGCCGGUCUCAGUUCGGAUUGUUCUCUGCAACUCGAGAACAUGAAGUCGGAAUCGCUAGUAAUCGCAGGUCAGCAUACUGCGGUGAAUACGUUCCCGGGCCUU